Molecule: long non-coding RNA, 697 nt
Organism: Thunnus maccoyii (southern bluefin tuna)
Lineage: Eukaryota; Metazoa; Chordata; Actinopteri; Scombriformes; Scombridae
Exons: 3
Source: RefSeq, a predicted model, not a curated record
GCUGUCAGACGGUCAGCAGGGUGAUGCAACGGCCCAGGAACGUUGGCCGAGAAACCACGGGAAUACUUCACAUUCCUGCUGGGAGUAGGAAACAACACUCAGAGAUGACUGACUGUUUUUCUCUGGCAAGAAACCCGACGACUGUUCUGCUAAAACAAGCCGCUGACAGACGUGCCCACCUGUCCAUCUGUCACCAGGCUCUCCAUCAGAUUUUGGAAACUGGCUGCAGGGAUUUGCUCCCAUUCAGCCACAAGAGCAUCAGUGAGGUCCAACACUGAUGCUGGAUGACAAGGUUUGGCUCGCAUUAGGCGUUCCAGUUCAUCCCAAAGGUGUUGGAUGGGGCUGAGCUGUCAGGACGCUGUGCAGGCCAGUCAAGUUCUUCCACACCAAACUGGGAAACCCAUUUCUUUAUGGAUCUGGUUUUGCACACGUCGGCAUUGUUAUGAUGAGGAAUGUGUCUUCUCAAAACUACUGACACAGAGUUGGAAGCACAUUGUUAUCGGAAAUAACAUUGUCUGCUGCAGCAUUAAAAACGUCCCCUUCACUGGAAGUAAACGGCCAAAACCAGCAAAAACCAAAAGUACAAAAAAGCAUGUGAACACUUUUGGUCUGUCCAUAGACUUUUGACAGUGUAGCAUUUUUGGACCACACUUUUUUUUGGUUACAGAUAAAGACACAAAGAGACUUCGGCUAGUGA